RNAcentral lists this ribosomal RNA (220 nucleotides) under Chloropicon mariensis. RNAcentral's name for it is "partial Bacterial large subunit ribosomal RNA". It matches the Rfam family "Bacterial large subunit ribosomal RNA", at positions 1453 to 1673 of the family's 2925-position model. Lineage: Eukaryota; Viridiplantae; Chlorophyta; Chloropicophyceae; Chloropicales; Chloropicaceae. The record is from RNAcentral.
GUAGUCAAGCGAUGGGGUGACGCAGGAAGGUAGUCCUACCGGUGAGUGGUAGUACCGGUGCAAGGGUGUGGCCCGUGGGGUAGGCAAAUCCGCCCCGCAUACAGGGUGAGGCCUGACGCAUAGCCGAAUGAGGCGAAUUGGAUGAUCCUAUGCUGCCGAGAAAAGCAUCGACGCGAGGUUCCAGCCGCCCGUACCCCAAACCGACUCAGGUGGUCAGGUA